This 21-nucleotide microRNA is filed under the name Mus musculus (house mouse). Its description in RNAcentral is "mmu-miR-7682-3p". Lineage: Eukaryota; Metazoa; Chordata; Mammalia; Rodentia; Muridae. The record is from miRBase by way of RNAcentral.
CCUGUGGGUUGGGUUGGCUUU